Molecule: unclassified non-coding RNA, 233 nt
Filed under: Hevea brasiliensis (rubber tree)
Lineage: Eukaryota; Viridiplantae; Streptophyta; Magnoliopsida; Malpighiales; Euphorbiaceae
Source: RNAcentral
UUAACCUCUACAAGAAACUUAGCAUCAUCGGCAAAAACCUGACUUCUUUGCUCGAACUCCUCAGCCAAACGGCUAAUGACGCUCAUGCUCGCACUCUUUUCCCGUUCGGUGAGGCUUGAUCUGGAUCGAGCCUCAUUGUUAUCCCAACAGUGCUCCACUGAUGUAUCGGAUCUCCUUUCGGUUUCAUCCAUGGCAAGGGAUUUUCUGGCGACAGAGAGGCUGGAUUGUAAGGA